Cricetulus griseus (Chinese hamster) is the source of this 238-nucleotide non-coding RNA. Lineage: Eukaryota; Metazoa; Chordata; Mammalia; Rodentia; Cricetidae. The record is from RefSeq and is a predicted model, not a curated record.
GUAUGGGCUGCUGCUGCGCUGGCUGGCUUAGGUCGCUUGGACUUAGUCAAGAGAGUGUGUACCAGGACACAAAGAAAGGUCAAGUUUAGUCCAGAGAACACAAACAUCUACAUCCACAAAAUAGAAGAUGUGUCAUUACCAGAUAAAAAAAUCUAUACCAGAUGCAGUGAACCACAACCAAGAACUCGGCCAAGCUCCAGGAAUUCAGUCAAAGAGAAGGAGGAGGGGAUAUAUGAGC